Molecule: ribosomal RNA, 716 nt
Filed under: uncultured bacterium
Lineage: Bacteria
Description: bacterial SSU rRNA
Rfam family: Bacterial small subunit ribosomal RNA
Source: RNAcentral
ACGGGUGAGUAACACGUGGGUAACCUGCCCAUCAGAAAGGGAUAACACUUGGAAACAGGUGCUAAUACCGUAUAACACUAUUUUCCGCAUGGAAGAAAGUUGAAAGGCGCUUUUGCGUCACUGAUGGAUGGACCCGCGGUGCAUUAGCUAGUUGGUGAGGUAACGGCUCACCAAGGCCACGAUGCAUAGCCGACCUGAGAGGGUGAUCGGCCACACUGGGACUGAGACACGGCCCAGACUCCUACGGGAGGCAGCAGUAGGGAAUCUUCGGCAAUGGACGAAAGUCUGACCGAGCAACGCCGCGUGAGUGAAGAAGGUUUUCGGAUCGUAAAACUCUGUUGUUAGAGAAGAACAAGGAUGAGAGUAAAAUGUUCAUCCCUUGACGGUAUCUAACCAGAAAGCCACGGCUAACUACGUGCCAGCAGCCGCGGUAAUACGUAGGUGGCAAGCGUUGUCCGGAUUUAUUGGGCGUAAAGCGAGCGCAGGCGGUUUCUUAAGUCUGAUGUGAAAGCCCCGGCUCAACCGGGGAGGGUCAUUGGAAACUGGGAGACUUGAGUGCAGAAGAGGAGAGUGGAAUUCCAUGUGUAGCGGUGAAAUGCGUAGAUAUAUGGAGGAACACCAGUGGCGAAGGCGGCUCUCUGGUCUGUAACUGACGCUGAGGCUCGAAAGCGUGGGGAGCGAACAGGAUUAGAUACCCUGGUAGUCCACGCCGUAAA